Molecule: ribosomal RNA, 254 nt
Filed under: uncultured bacterium
Lineage: Bacteria
Description: partial 16S ribosomal RNA
Rfam family: Bacterial small subunit ribosomal RNA
Source: RNAcentral
UACAGAGGGGGCAAGCGUUGUCCGGAAUUACUGGGCGUAAAGGGCGCGUAGGCGGCCUGUUAAGUCGAACGUGAAAUCCCUGGGCUCAACCCAGGAACUGCGUCCGAUACUGGCAGGCUUGAAUCCGGGAGAGGGAUGCGGAAUUCCAGGUGUAGCGGUGAAAUGCGUAGAUAUCUGGAGGAACACCGGUGGCGAAGGCGGCAUCCUGGACCGGCAUUGACGCUGAGGCGCGAAAGCCAGGGGAGCAAACGGGG